RNAcentral lists this ribosomal RNA (497 nucleotides) under uncultured bacterium. RNAcentral describes it as "partial 16S ribosomal RNA". It matches the Rfam family "Bacterial small subunit ribosomal RNA", at positions 28 to 507 of the family's 1533-position model. The record is from RNAcentral.
GACGAACGCUGGCGGCGUGCCUAAUACAUGCAAGUCGAGCGCUGAAGGUUGGUACUUGUACCGACUGGAUGAGCAGCGAACGGGUGAGUAACGCGUGGGGAAUCUGCCUUUGAGUGGGGGACAACAUUGGGAAACGAAUGCUAAUACCGCAUAAAAACUUUAAACACAAGAUUUAAGUUUGAAAGAUGCAAUUGCAUCACUCAAAGAUGAUCCCGCGUUGUAUUAGCUAGUUGGUGAGGUAAAGGCUCACCAAGGCGAUGAUACAUAGCCGACCUGAGAGGGUGGUCGGCCACAAUGGGAAUGAGACACGGCCCAAACUCCUACGGGAGGCAGCAGGAGGGGAUCUUCGGCAAAGGACGAAAGUCUGACCGAGCAACGCCGCGGGGGUGAAGAAGGGUUUCGGAUCGGAAAACUCUGUUGGUAGGGAAGGACGUUGGUGAGAGUAGAAAGCUCAUCAAGUGACGGUAACUACACAGAAAGGGACGGCUAACUACGUG